UACGUAGGGUGCGAGCGUUGUCCGGAAUUAUUGGGCGUAAAGCGCGUGUAGGCGGCUUUGCAAGUCGGGUGUGAAAUCCCUCGGCUCAACCGAGGAAGUGCGCCCGAAACUGCAGAGCUUGAGUACCGGAGAGGAUGGUGGAAUUCCCCAAGUAGAGGUGAAAUUCGUAGAUAUGGGGAGGAACACCGGUGGCGAAGGCGACCAUCUGGACGGAUACUGACGCUGAGACGCGAAAGCGUGGGGAGCAAACAGG
This 253-nucleotide ribosomal RNA is filed under the name uncultured bacterium. RNAcentral's name for it is "partial 16S ribosomal RNA". It matches the Rfam family "Bacterial small subunit ribosomal RNA", at positions 524 to 776 of the family's 1533-position model. The record is from RNAcentral.